Capra hircus (goat) is the source of this 4287-nucleotide long non-coding RNA. The record is from Ensembl. NCBI's taxonomy places the organism in Eukaryota, Metazoa, Chordata, Mammalia, Artiodactyla, Bovidae.
GACGCUUCUCCGCACGCCUGGGACGAAGGGAACGUCGGGAUCGGAACCGGCCCACUUCUCCUUCCCCAGAGGGGACUUCACGGGUUCUGGUUUGGAGUCCGGCACCCCUCGGAGAGUCCCUCCAGGGUGUCUGAGUUGCACCCAGCCUGUGCCUUCACAACUCGAUGCAGGGACCCGAGGAGGCGCGCGAGGACCGACCGGUCACCGCUCCAAUUACCUCAUCGUUUCAGCUCCCCGCCCCUUUCCCAAACCUGGAAGAACUGUCCCCUCCGGUCCCGGUCACCGCUCCCGCCCCGCGUCCCCCACCCCCACCCCCAAUCCCGAGCGGGUCUCGGGGAAACGCGCCCGCCUCCCCGGGGGGACUGCCGGGCCCGGAGAUGCGCGCACCCAAGGGUUAAGGGCGCCGGCCGGCGGCCGCGCCGUGCGCUCUCGGUGCUCAGAGCGGCUCGCCCCGCCGCCCCGCCGGAGGGUGGCCCCCCCAACCCCCCCGAAGUCGGAUCCUUGAGCUGCGGCGGCGGCAGCCAACUGCUCCAUAUUUGGCUUCUAUUACACAUUUACAUACUGGAGCGAGCAAGCGAGCGAGCGCGAGAGAGCGCGAGGGAGGGCGGGCGGAGGGAGGAGGGAGGAGGGAGGGAGGAGAGGGGGGGAGGAGGAGGAGAGAGCAGAGUAUACCGCAGACAUCAUUUCUACUACAGUGGCGGAGCCGUACAGGACCUGUUUCACUGCAGGGGGAUCCAAAACAAGCCCCGUGGAGCAGCAGCCAGAGCUACAGCAGCCGCAAGACACUGUUUCUCUCCCUCUGCCCCCCCUUCCCCACGCAACCCCAGAUCCAUUUACACUUUACAGAGGAUCUGGCUGCAAAUCACCGAGGUGUUCCAUUCAAGCUGCAGAGUUGUCUGUCGUCUUUGGACAGCAGUCUCCUCCUCCACGGCUGCUUCGGGGGAGUCCGACACCCAUCAGGGUUUACAACUUAUCAGCUGUGUGUUGUGGCUUCUAACGCUGUGACUGCUCUAAGCCCAUCAAGAGGUUAAUUACUUGUAAAGAAUAAGGAGCUGCUGGAGACCUGUCACACGUCCAGGAGAGCUUUGGAGUUUACCUCUUCGGUAAUGUGAAUAAACAAAUGUCCUCCAUGUAUCUAGUUUCCAAGUGGAGGCAUGACAGUACUGGGCUGUGUAGCCUGGAGAAGGUCAAGUUGCCGAUGGCAUUGAGAUCUGAAUAUCAUGAUCCAUCAGGACUGUCUGUAUUCUCCGAGAGCUUCUCCAACCAGAGAACAAAUAAUACUUUUUAAAAAACAACUUAUUCCUCUAUGGUUUACCAUUUAAACCUUUUUUUUUUUUCAUUUUUAAAAUUGAAAUAUAAUUUGUGGUGUUUCAGGUAUACAGCAAAAUGAUUCAGUUAUAUAUAAAUAUUUAGUUAUGUAUAUAUAUUCAGUUUUUGAUUCUUUUUCAUUAUGAAUUAUUAUAAGAUGUUGACUAUAGUUUCUUGUGCUAUACAGUAGGUCUUAAAUAGUACCAUUUUUGAUUGUUUCAUCUUGUUCUCCUGUAGUUGCUAAAAACUCCAAAUGAGGAAACAAAUGAGAACAUUUAUCAAAAAACAUUCUAAUUGCCAGCACAGUUCAUCUUCUUUCCCAUUCUUUUCUGUCUGGAGUGGAAUAGCCCCAGGCCUUUAAACUUGCUUUCCUAUGACUUAAGCAGUCCCAGGCAUUUUAGCCCCAUAAUACUGCCUGACUCACAGGCUCUGUCCUGAAGAGUAUUGUCUUGAUUUGCUUUAAAAUAUACCAGACAGGAAAUUCCUGCUGCAUAUAGGAAAGGUAUAUGUUUACACACACAAACACACACCACCAAGCAUAUCUAUUUUCAUGCUUCCUUUCAGUAAAGCAUUGAGAGGAAGGAAGAACUAUCUAACCAGCUUUUGGUAGUUGGCAGGAAUGUGAUUAGUGGGAAUCUCAAGAUGUUACGUUUAAUUUUUGAAGUAGUUUAUUGGUAGUUCUAGAAUGGCAGUGCAUUUUAGGUAGCCCCAUUACUUCCAUGGUAGUUCAGAUGGUAAAGAAUCUUCCUAUAAUGCAGGAGACUUGGGUUCAAUCCCUGGGUCAAGAAGAUCCCCUAAAGGAGGGGAUGGCUACCCACUCCAGUAUUCUUGCCUGGAGAAUUCCAUGGACAGAGGAGCCUGGCAGGCUAUCCAGUUCAUGGGAUCGCAAAAGAGUCGGACAUAACUGAGUGGCUAACAUUUUCAUUUUCGUUUGUUAUUGAGUAGGACAGCAAGGGUCACCAGGAAUAUUCUGUAGAAAGUGGGCGUAUAAGGAACUCCUUCUUUUCCCCAUUCCCCUUAUUUUAUUUUUUGGUUUGCUGUUUUAUGUUGAGCGAGGAUGGUUAUAUUCCAUCAACAGCAUGUUACAACUUGUCGAAAAUUACUCAGCCUUCAAUGUUAGUGUGCUUCAGUGUUGAACAGGUACUUAACCGUUUCUGAGUUUCCUCAGAGAACCGUGGGCAAAGGCCAGAGUCAGGCAUUUUUCCUGUCACUGAGAUAGAGGCCUCAACCAGGAAAGCCUUGAACUCUUAACUGAGUUGAUAGACUAGUACCACCUUACCUCUGGAGUUAAGCUUAGGGCCCUCUUUCUUCUUAUUCUUUCUGUGACUUCAGAGCUAUUUCAAGAAUUAUUUCUUGGGGCUUCCCUGUUGGUCCAUUGGCUAAGACUCUACCACUUCAGCCUGGGUUUGAUCCCCGGUCAGAGAACUAGAUCCCACGUGCCCAGCUAAGACCAGCACAGCCACCGCCACCCCCACCUCCUGCCCGCCCACCAAAAAAAGGAAGAAGAGGAAUUAUUUCUUCUAAGAAAAAUUAUUCACUUGUACCAUGUGUGUUUUCCCAGGUUAUAGGAGAGGGAUGGACUCCCAAGAGGCAGAGAUUUCAUCAGUCCAUUUUUUUUAAAAAAACAAGGUUUUUUAAGAAAAGCCAGGAAAUGAUAUGUUUCAUAUUCAUGGAAAUUCAUCAAAGUUGCUUUGGCCUACUAUCUCCUGACUGCUUUUUACUUUAGGUAACCGCUGUGAUACAACUGCCUGGAGUUUGAAAAUAAGCUGGAGAGCUAAUGCUAUUAGUAAGUUCUCAACUGUUAGUGCUGCAGGAACUCAGUGAGCAUAAUCCACAAGUGGUCCCUGGAGGAACUGAGUUUUCAUGGGAAUGUUAUAUACCUUUGCUGUUAGAAGCAUGAUGGUGUUAAAGGUGGCUACGUAAAGGACAGUUUCUGUAUGCCUUAUAUUGGAUUUGAUGAGAACUUCGGACAGAGGUUUUUUUCCAGCCUCUUAGUUGCUAUGGCAAUACUGAUUUUUAUUCAGGUUUGGUGACCUCUACAAGUACCAAAUAAAGUUAAGUAUGAUAAAGGAAGCCAUAUGUGUCCUAAAUACGGAUAUAUAGAUUGAAUUUACUUGCAUGUUUGCCUUCAUUCCCCUGGUGCUUAUUAUCGUGUGUGUGUGGGUGUGGGUGUGUGUGUGUGUGUGUGUGUGUGUGUGUGUGUGUGUGUGUGGUGUGUAUGUGUUUUUAUUCUUUUAUCCAGGCUUCUUGAGGAAAAAAAAAAAGAGACACUGAUUCAUAGUAUCAUUGUCUUUUGUUUUCCCAGGAAAAUUCUGGGUUUGUUACUAAAUUCAUUUUUCUAUAAUCCUGAGUUUAAUCUCUCCAGAUAAAUCUUUUUUUGUUCCCCCUCUUGCAGACACAAGGCACUUUGCUUUGUUUAUGUUAAUAGAAGUCAGGUUCAUCUCAAAGAAUUAGAAGAAAUGCCAGUGAUUUCUUAGGGCUCUUAAGUAUGAUUUUUUCCCCCUUGUUUCUUAAUAUAUUGCCCUUUAUGGACUUUCGUUUUAGGUGUCUGAAGGUGAGAUUGGAAGAUUCUAUGAAUUUACUGGUCAUAUCAGAUGGUCUGGUCACUACCAAAUAUAUUAACAUAUCUGUAAAGUAAACCCUUUUGGAUAUUUUCUCGUGACAAAAGUAGAAAGUUUAAUUUUGGAGAUGAAGAGGUUUUUCAGAUAUAUUAACUAGAUUUUGUUACAGUGAGGUGAGAGUACUUUUCAAUGGAACAUUUCUUAUGUACCAGCCAGUGGAUGGCUUGGCUUUCUGGUUGUAAUUACAUGCCAAAGGCUUGGUGGUUAUUAUUUUAGAAGUUGAGUUCAUCAUGGAUUCCCCAAGCACGAAGAGUAGUGCACCCUGAUUGUCCACAUUAAGAUUGUAAUUCCAUCCAGGGUUUACGGUGUCAUCAUAGAAACUAGAUGGAAUUACAGCCCCAGGCACAUUUUGGAAGAC